This 405-nucleotide ribosomal RNA is filed under the name uncultured bacterium. Its description in RNAcentral is "partial 16S ribosomal RNA". It matches the Rfam family "Bacterial small subunit ribosomal RNA", at positions 30 to 525 of the family's 1533-position model. The record is from RNAcentral.
AUUGAACGCUGGCGGCAGGCUUAACACAUGCAAGUCGAGCGAGCGGCGGACGGGUGAGUAAUGUCUGGGAAACUGCCUGAUGGAGGGGGAUAACUACUGGAAACGGUAGCUAAUACCGCAUACCAUCAGAUGGGCCCAGUUGGGAUUAGCUAGUGGGGGGGGUAAUGGCUCACCUAGGCGACGAUCCCUAGCUGGUCUGAGAGGAUGACCAGCACCGCUGGAUCUGAGCUCCGGUCACGACUCCUACGUGGGUCAGCGGGGGGGAUUUUUGCCGAAUGGGCGCAAGCCUGAUGCAGCCAUGCCGCGUGUGUGAAGAAGGCCUUCGGGUUGUAAAGCCCUUUCCGCGAGGAGGCGUUACUCGCAGAAGAAGCACCGGCUAACUCCGGGCCAGCAGCCGCGGUAAUA